GCUGCUGAAGACUGGCAGCUAGAUAAUCCACAGGCCAAAGCCCAAUAUGCUCAUUUACCUUUCCUUCUCUCUCUCAAUCUAUUCAAGACUCCAUUCACAGUUUCCCAUUAUGUUUGUUGGUCGUCUCUCUACCAAAAGCCAUGUCUCAUACUCCGGUGAUGUUCCGGUCACUGGUGAGGCUAUUGACAUCCCUAAUAAGUGAGCCUGCGGCUUCUGUCUCCACCGUACUAUUUUACAGUGAACUUCUGCCUCAGAAUAUAAUCUUGGAGAGACUAGUUCGACAUGAAUUGCUCGACAAUGAAAAUUAUUUGUUUCAUUUCCUCAUUAACUUCUUGAGAUGCUUCUGGUAGAUAACAGAUGCCAUCUUCAUCAGCAUGCUUCUGGAACUAGCAAACAGUAGCAGCUUACAUGUUCGAGAUGUUAGACUCCGGAUUGGCGAUGGCUCAACUGUUGAAACUUUAGCCAUAGGAUCUAAAUCUUUUUACAUGUGUGGACAUGUUUUGUGUUUGAAUAAUAUUUUGUAUGUGCCUGAUGCUUUUAAGAACAUAAUUUCUAUAUCUAGUUUGAUUAGAAAUGGUUGUGAAUUUCAGUUCACAGAUGAUGUUUGCAAUAUUUAUUUUGGAAAUAAAUAUGUUGGCUCAGGUUAUAUGCA
This is a long non-coding RNA of Hevea brasiliensis (rubber tree), 652 nucleotides long. RefSeq lists it as uncharacterized. The transcript has 3 exons. Lineage: Eukaryota; Viridiplantae; Streptophyta; Magnoliopsida; Malpighiales; Euphorbiaceae. The record is from RefSeq and is a predicted model, not a curated record.